UCGGAUAUGGUGUAACGGCUAACAUUGCCGCCUCUCACGAGAAACCCUGGAACGACUAUAGGUUCUUUUCAGCGCGGCAGCUCGGGGUUCGAUUCCCCGUAUCCGAA
Gloeopeniophorella convolvens is the source of this 107-nucleotide non-coding RNA. NCBI's taxonomy places the organism in Eukaryota, Fungi, Basidiomycota, Agaricomycetes, Russulales. The record is from the annotation of a GenBank genome assembly.